AGUGUCUCAUUCACUGAAAUGAACACGGCCAUUUUAGAAACCCAGCAAAGAUGGAAAUGGCUACAAAAAACAACGCCACGGUCCCCGGGUCUGACGCAAAGCCACAGACUGAGCAGCAGGGAUCAUAAAUGAGCAGUGCCGCCCCUGAGCCACGGAGAGCGGCACAAACGCCAGGGCAGGAGUGCUGGAAGUGCAGGCAACCGGGACACCUGAGGAGGGACUGUCCUCUGAUGGAAGUGGGGCAGAUGUUCCGCGUCGCCGGUGCCCCAGCACUCUCUCCCGGUCCAGGAGGGACGUACAGCAUUCCGUUCCAAGACUCCGACUCGACUCUUCUGCAGUGCAGUCUCCUGGAUGCUGGUCGCUGUCGUUAAGACCCACCGUGUCAGUCUGCAAGCCCACUCCUGGGAAACGCAACUACCUACUCUUCUCACCCGGGUCGUCCUGCCCAUAAUUCUCCUUUGGAUCGUUGGAAAUAUAAGGUCACAACUCUCCGCCACGCACCCUGAUAUUCAGCAAGAUGCUCACUCCGCCACCCUCCCAGAAACCUUCCUUCUCACGCGUGCAAGGUUUAAAUCUGGGACUCUCGGCCAUUUGACCUUAGAACUGAAGAAGCUUCUGGGAUGAGAGGUGAAACGUCUUCAAGCAACUUAAAGAAGUCCAGACGCUUUUCUUUGCAAAUUCCUUUGACUACGAUGAGCUGGAUGACUGAGAACCUUCACAGACUUUAUCCCGUCUUC
Molecule: long non-coding RNA, 737 nt
Organism: Oreochromis aureus
Lineage: Eukaryota; Metazoa; Chordata; Actinopteri; Cichliformes; Cichlidae
Source: Ensembl